GUUUGCAAUAAAGACAUGGACACUACAAAUGUGCUUUAACAAGAUUCUCAGUGAGUAUAUUUUCAGGGUUAGCAUAUAAAGCAAAAAGAGUUUAACUAUUUCAUAUCCUUACAGUCAGCACUAAUGAUUAUAAACCUUAUUUAAGCAUAAAAUACAUAUGAACAAGAAAAGUUAACUACUUCAUAUUCUUGCAUGGUAAUUUCCCAUUCCUAGGACAAAUCUUUCAAACACUUAUUCACACUCACAACCAGACUUAACUAAUGACAAUUAGAGGGUGGACAAGGUGAACCUGAAACUCUGUGCACACUAUCGUAGUAUAUUCACUUAUAUACUAAAUUCUCUGUCUAUAUCACUUUAUAAAUUUCCUUUUAUCUGUCUAAUUCUCUUAUUAGACCUUCUCUAGUUCACUUACUAGAAAUACAUAUAUCUCUCUGUCUAGUUCCCUUACUAGACUAAUUUAACGGGACCUUAUGUAAAACUGAGUCACAUAAAACACAUAUACUAAAUAACCUUUCCUAAAAUGAUGUAGACUUACAAAACCAUGGGGAUCAUAGAUUCAGGGCGUCAAGAUAGACACAAGGAAUUACUACUCACCCAAAAUGGUUUGGCUACAAUCCCACUUCUGACACCAAGCUGAAAGGUAAAUCUGCUAAUCUGGUGACUCGGUCCCUCUGGUCACUAUUCUCCAACCCUCGAUUGUCAGCUGAAUAUUCAGGGAAGAUUUUUAUGGAAGCGUAUUAACCAGACACACACUCUUUGCU
Molecule: non-coding RNA, 761 nt
Organism: Pelobates cultripes (western spadefoot toad)
Lineage: Eukaryota; Metazoa; Chordata; Amphibia; Anura; Pelobatidae
Source: the annotation of a GenBank genome assembly